Long non-coding RNA from Panicum virgatum (switchgrass), 887 nucleotides. RefSeq lists it as uncharacterized. NCBI's taxonomy places the organism in Eukaryota, Viridiplantae, Streptophyta, Magnoliopsida, Poales, Poaceae. The transcript is spliced from 2 exons. The record is from RefSeq and is a predicted model, not a curated record.
CGGCAGAAGAGGAAUGUUUUUAUCCUGUUCUUUCCUCUCUUUCCUUAGCCGCUAUUUCAGUACUACUUAUUCUAACAAAAACUCACUCUGUAUUUUCAGGAACUAGCACCAUGAAAGUGAAGAGCAGGAUUUAAAAAAGAUUAAUGGUGAUGAUGACAAGAAGCAUGACGAACAGAAGAGGAAGAAGCUAAAAAUAGAGGAAUGAUCAAGUUAAGUUACCCUUACAUAUUGUAGUUAUGAGAAAAGGAAGUCUUGCACUAUUUACCAAAUUAAUUUCUGCAAGUAUUGUUUUUCCUUAAAAAGUGCCUUUACUACCUGCAUAUUCCCAUUUUGAAAAGGAUUUCGAAUGUUUACAACACAAAGAUGGCUACCAGUUUGAGUCAUACUCUCUGAAUCAAUACUCCAUUUUUACUUCAUCAAAGUGUAGUGGAGGUUUGAUGACAAACUUUACAUCCAUACAAUUAUUUCAUAGAUAAUUAGGCAAUUCUUAUAGUUUGAAGUAGUAGAGUUCUUUUUUUAUUUGAAAUGCCAAUAGUGUUUCCUUAUUUUUCCUCUAUGUGGCAGGACUACACAGCUAGCACCAAGGAAACAAAAUGGAAGGAUAUUUUGGUGUACAUGGCACACAAAUGUGGACCAGACCGCUGCUUUUGCUUAUAGUUUUGGAUACAACUUCGGUUAAUUGAUGCUCUUACUACGUAUCUUUUGGUCGAAAACAUAGCUUUCGACAGCGCAGAAUAUUUGGUCACUGCCUCAGCUGAGGCAUACUACAUUAGUUUCUGUAAUGUCGAGGUUGUAAGCAACAUGCAGUGUUGAGAAUUUCUCACUACCCAAAAUGUUUCCAUACUUCUUCAGUUAAUCAAUAACCCGAUAACUGACACCAGUUAUAA